UAGGCUCAUUCCAAGCAUCCCAAGGACCAGCAUAUACCUUUGGCAGCCAAGAAGAGACAUCUGGACAACAGACUAUGUUGCACUAGCGAACAGAAGAAUAAGAGAGCAGAAUACCAGUUUUAAAACUGUAGCCACCACCUACACAUUGGAAGGAAAAAAAUUUACCUGUGACAAAAUAUGGAAAAUGUGGAAGAGGAAAAUAACCAAUUUAUUUAACUGGAAUAGAUGAUUACUCAAAGUGGCAAGGCUUACAAGUUGUGGACAUCCUGAAUCAGUGAUGGUUACCCAAAGAGGCACAAUGGAAUAGUUAGAGCACUCUGCAUUCACCUCAGACAUUAAAGGCCAUUGGGAAAAAAGGAGACAGACCCAACGUGGAAUUUUGGAAGCCUAUAAAGAUUGGUCCUGGUAUUCCUUUCCAAAUCCACAUCAAGUUUUGGUUACAUGACUUGUUUUGG
Molecule: non-coding RNA, 455 nt
Organism: Peromyscus maniculatus bairdii (prairie deer mouse)
Lineage: Eukaryota; Metazoa; Chordata; Mammalia; Rodentia; Cricetidae
Source: RefSeq, a predicted model, not a curated record